RNAcentral lists this ribosomal RNA (258 nucleotides) under uncultured bacterium. RNAcentral describes it as "partial 16S ribosomal RNA". It matches the Rfam family "Bacterial small subunit ribosomal RNA", at positions 96 to 354 of the family's 1533-position model. The record is from RNAcentral.
UGGCGGACGGGCGAGUAACGCGUGAGCAACCUGCCCUUCGGAGGGGGAUAGUGUCUGGAAACGGACAGUAAUACCGCAUAACGUAUUUUUACCGCAUGAUAGAAAUACCAAAACUGAGGUGCCGAAGGAUGGGCUCGCGUUGGAUUAGAUAGUUGGUGGGGUAACGGCCUACCAAGUCGACGAUCCAUAGCCGGACUGAGAGGUUGAACGGCCACAUUGGGACUGAGACACGGCCCAGACUCCUACGGGAGGCAGCAG